This 23-nucleotide microRNA is filed under the name Schistosoma mansoni. RNAcentral describes it as "sma-miR-8447-3p". The record is from miRBase by way of RNAcentral. Lineage: Eukaryota; Metazoa; Platyhelminthes; Trematoda; Strigeidida; Schistosomatidae.
GACAAUGAUGAGUGUGUGUAUAC